GGACCUCAUUAUUUCUUGCCUGAACUAUUUCAGUAAACUCCU
RNAcentral lists this microRNA precursor (42 nucleotides) under Vombatus ursinus (common wombat). Its description in RNAcentral is "miRNA (ENSVURG00010006909.1)". Lineage: Eukaryota; Metazoa; Chordata; Mammalia; Diprotodontia; Vombatidae. The record is from RNAcentral.